This 644-nucleotide small RNA is filed under the name Pan troglodytes (chimpanzee). RNAcentral's name for it is "retained intron". Lineage: Eukaryota; Metazoa; Chordata; Mammalia; Primates; Hominidae. The record is from RNAcentral.
GGGAGAUACACCCCAACCCCCAUCCUAGCCAUGCCAACCUCUACUACCCUCUCCCCAGCUCAUCCUGUUUGGGCUCAGUAAUCAGCUGGCUGUGACAUUCCGGGAAGAGAACACCAUCGCCUUCCGACACCUCUUCCUGCUGGGCUACUCGGACGGAGCAGAUGACACCUUCGCAGCCUACACGCGGGAGCAGCUGUACCAGGCCAUCUUCCAUGCUGUGGACCAGUACCUGGCGUUGCCUGACGUGUCACUGGGCCGGUAUGCGUAUGUCCGUGGUGGGGGUGACCCUUGGACCAAUGGCUCAGGGCUUGCUCUCUGCCAGCGGUACUACCACCGAGGCCACGUGGACCCGGCCAACGACACAUUUGACAUUGAUCCGAUGGUGGUUACUGACUGCAUCCAGGUGGAUCCCCCCGAGCGGCCCCCUCCGCCCCCCAGCGACGAUCUCACCCUCUUGGAAAGCAGCUCCAGUUACAAGAACCUCACGCUCAAAUUCCACAAGUACUGCCUGCUCACUCGAGGGGGGCCCAGGGUGGGGGAGGCAGCACACUAGGCACUCUCACCCCAGCAACUACUUCCCUAAGGUGGGGACAGGGCCCCCCCGCCCGCGCUGGUGCCUGCUGGGUGAGCACUUCCCCUGCCAG